AGGAGGAACAACCCCAGUGGAGGCGGCCAGCUCUGGAGCCCUGGAGUCAGCUCCCGCAGUAACUCCGGAGCUCUCCGUCUGCAGGGCCUGGAGGCUCCGGGGGGGC
Molecule: non-coding RNA, 106 nt
Organism: Canis lupus familiaris (dog)
Lineage: Eukaryota; Metazoa; Chordata; Mammalia; Carnivora; Canidae
Source: Rfam